Molecule: long non-coding RNA, 239 nt
Filed under: Elaeis guineensis (African oil palm)
Lineage: Eukaryota; Viridiplantae; Streptophyta; Magnoliopsida; Arecales; Arecaceae
Description: long non-coding RNA (EGUI_LNC029891)
Source: RNAcentral
CAGUUAAAAGUUACUGUAUAUUCUGAAAUAUUUUUUGUUGUAGAAAUAUAUUAUAAAACAUUCCGUAUUAUUUUUAUGUAUCAAGGUCAAUCCAUGGAAGACCAAAAACUACCAACUAUUCUUCUCUUUUUUUAAAAUUGUCUCCACCUCGAAAGGUCAGAGGUUUGGUUUUUGGUUGAAAAACUUUUGCCAUCAUGCACGAUGAAAUACUCGCCAAAACCAAAAUUUUCUUUAACCCA